GGAGAAUAUGCACAGUGAUGUUAGGGUGUAAAGGUUUAAGUCAUUCAAAAGACUGUCCAAACUGUAGAGCAAAGGCUCAACUCAAGUCUGCUGUACCAGUGAAGGUGCUAGACAAUACAAUAAACAAAGUAGCAGAAGAGGUUCUUUCUCCAGAGGAACUUGAAGAAAGGCAGCUAAAAAUUUAGUGCUACUGACUCCCACAGAAAAAGAGCAGCAUCCCCAUCUGUACCUACACCCCAUACUCAUGACCGCC
This is a long non-coding RNA of Pocillopora damicornis (cauliflower coral), 253 nucleotides long. The record is from RefSeq and is a predicted model, not a curated record. Lineage: Eukaryota; Metazoa; Cnidaria; Anthozoa; Scleractinia; Pocilloporidae.